UGGUAACAAAGUGACGCGACCCCGUGAGGGCAAGCCAACCACAGAAAAGCCAUCUCAGUUCGGAUUGUAGGCUGCAACUCGCCUACACGAAGUCGGAAUCGCUAGUAAUCGCGGAUCAGCAUGCCGCGGUGAAUACGUUCCCGGGCCUUGUACACACCGCCCGUCACACCAUGGGAGUUUGUAACGCCCAAAGUCGGUGGCCUAACCUUUAUGGAGGGAGCCGCCUAAGGCGGGACAGAUGACUGGGGUGAAGUCGUAACAAGGUACC
This 268-nucleotide ribosomal RNA is filed under the name uncultured bacterium. RNAcentral's name for it is "partial 16S ribosomal RNA". It matches the Rfam family "Bacterial small subunit ribosomal RNA", at positions 1234 to 1500 of the family's 1533-position model. The record is from RNAcentral.